UACAGAGGUCCCAAGCGUUGUUCGGAUUUACUGGGCGUAAAGGGUGCGUAGGUGGUGAGGUAAGUCUGAUGUGAAAUCUCCGAGCUUAACUCGGAAAUGGCAUUGGAAACUACCUUGCUAGAGGGUUGGAGGGGGGACUGGAAUACUUGGUGUAGCAGUGAAAUGCGUAGAUAUCAAGCGGAACACCAGUGGCGAAGGCGAGUCCCUGGACAACACCUGACACUGAGGCACGAAAGCUAGGGGAGCAAACAGG
RNAcentral lists this ribosomal RNA (253 nucleotides) under uncultured bacterium. Its description in RNAcentral is "partial 16S ribosomal RNA". It matches the Rfam family "Bacterial small subunit ribosomal RNA", at positions 524 to 776 of the family's 1533-position model. The record is from RNAcentral.